AGAAUCAACGCUGGCGGCGUGCCUAACACAUGCAAGUCGAACGGGAAGGGGGGCUUCGGCUCCCCCGAGAGUGGCGUACGGGUGAGUAACACGUGGGUAAUCUGCCUUUGGGUGGGGAAUAACAAUCCGAAAGGGUUGCUAAUACCGCAUAACGCAGCGGCACCGCAUGUGACAGUUGUUAAAGCGGGGGAUCGCAAGACCUCGCGCCUGAAGAGGACGCCCGCGCCCGAUUAGCUAGUUGGCGGGGUAAGACGCCCACCAAGGCUUCGAU
RNAcentral lists this ribosomal RNA (271 nucleotides) under uncultured soil bacterium. RNAcentral describes it as "partial 16S ribosomal RNA". It matches the Rfam family "Bacterial small subunit ribosomal RNA", at positions 26 to 280 of the family's 1533-position model. The record is from RNAcentral.